This 29-nucleotide non-coding RNA is filed under the name Homo sapiens (human). Lineage: Eukaryota; Metazoa; Chordata; Mammalia; Primates; Hominidae. The record is from RNAcentral.
UCCCAGCUGCUGGUGAAGCCUAUCUCUGC